Molecule: ribosomal RNA, 470 nt
Filed under: Pollicipes elegans
Lineage: Eukaryota; Metazoa; Arthropoda; Thecostraca; Pollicipedomorpha; Pollicipedidae
Description: partial 16S ribosomal RNA
Rfam family: Archaeal large subunit ribosomal RNA
Source: RNAcentral
GGUAAGAAGGUAAGGCCUGCUCACUGAAAAAGUUUGAAGAGCCGCAGUAUUUUGACUGUGCUAAGGUAGCAUAAUCAUUAGUCUCUUAAUUGGAGACUGGUAUGAAUGGCUAAACGAAAAAUGAACUUUUUUUGUUACUAAAAAUCGAAUUUAACUUUUAAGUGAAAAGACUUAAAUUAUUCAGAAAGACGAGAAGACCCUAUAGAGUUUUAUACAUUAAAAAAUGAAAAUUUCUUAGAUUUUUCAAAUUUACAUUCGUGGUUUGUAUUUUGUUGGGGCGACAUUUAGAUAAAAAUAACUCUUAAUAUUGAAAACUUUAAUAAAAGUUUAAUUUGAUCCUUUAAAAAAGAUUAUAAGGAAAAAUUACCUUAGGGAUAACAGCGUAAUCUUUUUUGAGAGUUCUAAUCGACAAAAAGGUUUGCGACCUCGAUGUUGGACUAAAAUUUAGGCAAGGUGCAGCAGUUUUGCUU